GACGAACGCUGGCGGCGUGCUUAACACAUGCAAGUCGAACGGAAAGGCCCUGCUUUUGUGGGGUGCUCGAGUGGCGAACGGGUGAGUAACACGUGAGUAACCUGCCCUUGACUUUGGGAUAACUUCAGGAAACUGGGGCUAAUACCGGAUAGGAGCUCCUGCUGCAUGGUGGGGGUUGGAAAGUUUCGGCGGUUGGGGGUGGACUCGCGGCGUAUCAGCUUGUUGGUGGGGUAGUGGCUUACCAAGGCUUUGACGGGUAGCCGGGCUGAGAGGGUGACCGGCCAAAUUGGGAUUGAGCUGCGGCCCAGACCCGUACGGGAGGCAGCAGUGGGGAAUAGUGCACAAUGGGCGGAAGCCUAGUGCAGCAACGCCGCGUGCGGGAUGACGGCAUGCGGGUUGUAAUCCACUUUCGCCUGUGACGAAGCGUGAGUGACGGUAAUGGGUAAAGAAGCACCGGCUAACUACGUG
RNAcentral lists this ribosomal RNA (468 nucleotides) under uncultured bacterium. RNAcentral describes it as "partial 16S ribosomal RNA". It matches the Rfam family "Bacterial small subunit ribosomal RNA", at positions 28 to 507 of the family's 1533-position model. The record is from RNAcentral.